AUAGGGGACUUCAAUGAGAUUAUUUACUCUUCUGAAAAAGAAGGGGGGCCCUUGGCACAGUCAAAAAUGCAAGCGUUUCAAGAUGCUUUAUCAGAUUGCUCCCUAGAAGAUAUUGGUUACGAAGGGGAUAAGUUUACUUGGUUUUGAGAAGGAAUAAAAGAAAGACUAGACCGGGCAGUGUCUAACCAGUCAUGGGCGCAGAUGCAUCCUUGGGCAGGAUUGAUAAACCUGGAGAUGGGAAAAUCUGACUAUCGGCCUAUUUGUCUAGACACAAACCAUCUCCGUGAUGUAGCUGAUGGCCAAAGGAAGGAAAGAAGACUUGAGGCACGUUCGUUAGCAGAAGAUACAGUGGAGGAAAUUGUCCGAACUGCAUGGCAAAAAGUAGUACACAAUGGCGUGUGUCCGGGCAUCCAAGACAAGCUUGAGUCUGUCCAUAAUGAUCUGCAUGUGUGGGAUCGGACGGUACUAAAAAAUUCACGAUCGAAGUUGAGGAAAGUUCAAACAGAACUAGAGAAGCUCAUGCGAGCUCAUAUGAACGAUGAAGCUAAGGCGAGGCAGAAGGAGCUUACAGUUCUUAUAGAAAAACAUACUGGAACAAGACGAGAUAUAUUGGGCCCAAAGGGGGCAGGGUGA
This 633-nucleotide ribosomal RNA is filed under the name Triticum aestivum (bread wheat). RNAcentral's name for it is "partial small subunit ribosomal RNA". The record is from RNAcentral. Lineage: Eukaryota; Viridiplantae; Streptophyta; Magnoliopsida; Poales; Poaceae.